Molecule: ribosomal RNA, 252 nt
Filed under: uncultured bacterium
Lineage: Bacteria
Description: partial 16S ribosomal RNA
Rfam family: Bacterial small subunit ribosomal RNA
Source: RNAcentral
UACGUAGGGGGCGAGCGUUGUCCGGAUUUAUUGGGCGUAAAGAGCGUGUAGGCGGCCAGGUAGGUCUGCUGUGAAAACUCGAGGCUCAACCUCGAGACGUCGGCGGAAACCAUCUGGCUAGAGUCCGGAAGAGGAGAGUGGAAUUCCUGGUGUAGCGGUGAAAUGCGCAGAUAUCAGGAAGAACACCCUGGCGAAGGCGGCUCUCUGGGCAUGUCCUGACGCUGAGGAGCGAAAGUGUGGGGAGCGAACAGG